Molecule: non-coding RNA, 58 nt
Organism: Salmo salar (Atlantic salmon)
Lineage: Eukaryota; Metazoa; Chordata; Actinopteri; Salmoniformes; Salmonidae
Source: Rfam
UGGCUCAGUUGGUAGAGCAUGGUGUUUGCAACAACAGGGUUGUGGGUUCGAUUCCCAC